AUAAAGUUUUAUUCUGGCUUGAAGAAUUCCUGUAAAGUUAUUUUACAUGUAAGGUAUCUCGUGAAUUUAGUUUUCUAAAAGAAUUAUUUGUAAUCGCAGUAUUUGAGGUUGUUGGUCAGAGUAAUUUGGAAAUAGUAAUUUUUAUAGGUCUGGUGAAAUCUGUGCCAGCUACCGCGGUUAAACGGAAGGGCUUAGGAAUUUUUAUUGGUUGAUAGUAAAUUUUUGAUUGUAGGUGACAAAUAAAAAUAAGUAGGUGAAAUUUUUAUUUUUAUAAAACUUUGGUGUGAAGCUAUAAAUAUUGGGUGUUAAACUGGGAUUAGAUACCCCACUAUACCAGAUGUAGAUUAUAGACUAGAGUAGUAUUAGGUAUAUUCUUGAAACUCAAAGAAUUUGGCGGUGUUUUAGUCUUACCAGAGGAACCUGCUUCGUAAUCGAUAGUCCACGGUGAAAUUUACUUAACUUAUUUAGCUUGUAUACCGCCGUCAGCAGGGCGUUUCUUGAGAAUACGUUCAAGGAGUUUUAUUAAAAAGUAUGUCAGGUCAAGGUGCAGCUUAUGGUUAAGGGGGUAGUGGGUUACAAUGUUUAUAGAAUAUUUAUGGAGUAAGGAGUUUAUAAUUCUUAGGAAAGUGGAUUUGGGGGUAAUGAAUUUAAGGUAGAGUUCAUGGGGUGGCGCUAAAGCAUGCACACAUCGCCCGUCGCUCUCAUUUUAAGGUGAGAUAAGUCGUAACAUAGUAGAUGUACCGGAAGGUGUAUCUAGAAAGAC
RNAcentral lists this non-coding RNA (763 nucleotides) under Paraleptophlebia submarginata. Lineage: Eukaryota; Metazoa; Arthropoda; Insecta; Ephemeroptera; Leptophlebiidae. The record is from RNAcentral.